GGAAGGGUGGCUGAGUGGACAAAAGCGCACGCCUUGAGAGCGUGUUCCCGCCUCUGGCGGGACGUGGGUUCGAAUCCCACCCCUUCCGCCA
RNAcentral lists this transfer RNA (91 nucleotides) under candidate division WWE3 bacterium CG_4_9_14_0_2_um_filter_48_10. RNAcentral describes it as "tRNA-Ser". It matches the Rfam family "tRNA". From Rfam's summary of the family: Transfer RNA (tRNA) molecules are approximately 80 nucleotides in length. Their secondary structure includes four short double-helical elements and three loops (D, anti-codon, and T loops). RNAcentral also lists the same sequence under 1 other name. The record is from RNAcentral. Lineage: Bacteria; candidate division WWE3.